This 575-nucleotide small RNA is filed under the name Histoplasma capsulatum. RNAcentral's name for it is "hypothetical RNA". The record is from RNAcentral. RNAcentral also lists the same sequence under 1 other name. Lineage: Eukaryota; Fungi; Ascomycota; Eurotiomycetes; Onygenales; Ajellomycetaceae.
GGCCUGUGUUUCCCCUCCAAUUUAUGACUGUGCAACCCGAGCAGCUGCUGCUGCCGGCAUGCCUGUUUCGGCAUGGGACGGCGCAGUGAUCGCACGCUCUAGGCCUGCCGGGGGAUUUACACGACCGUUACGAGCAUGUAAGUUGGUUACAGAUUACAGCAUGUGCAACUAACUAGCUGGCAUGCCUUGUUGUUUGAAGCUGCAACUUCGAAUGGCAGCGUGCAUUCGCCGGGCGCAAGCCGCAUGAUAUCUUGGGCAUGGAACUGUGCGGCGCCAACCGCAGCCGGGGGUGUGUAACUUAUAGUAUCUUAUGUCUUAAUGUCUGGCCUGGCUCGUGCCUGGCUUUCUACUUCACUGAUGCAUUGAUUCAUAUCCGAAGGGAGAUGUCGAAAAAAUGAGGAUUUAAUAACGGUUGAGUUAGCAUGUUUGAAAUUUGUGGAUUUUGUAGUAGUGAGCUAUUCUCAUACGUCAUCGACGUUUUUGAAAGGGUAAGUUAUGCUCGAAGAGAAAGCCCAUGGUUUGUUCCUACACCUAUCAAACACGUAACUAUGUAAUUACCUAAAAGAAAACAAAAA